Molecule: non-coding RNA, 283 nt
Filed under: Alkalibacterium sp.
Lineage: Bacteria; Bacillati; Bacillota; Bacilli; Lactobacillales; Carnobacteriaceae
Description: T-box sequence
Rfam family: T-box leader
About the family: Uncharged tRNA acts as the effector for transcription antitermination of genes in the T-box leader family. T-boxes are found upstream of many aminoacyl-tRNA synthetase genes and some amino acid biosynthetic genes usually in Gram-positive bacteria.
Source: RNAcentral
UAAAAAACGAUAAAAAGAAAAGUACAGGUUUGAUGAAAGCAAAGCGAGUCCCAAUUAGUGAAAGGGGAUCUGGAAAUAAACCUGGAAGUGCAUCUUGGAGUUAUAUGAUUGAACGAUUUUUUUCUUUAGAUCAUAUCGGGUUUGCCCGUUACAGCAUGUCGGUAUGCCCGUUCGUAUUUUGGUGCCAUACCGAAUUGAGAUACAUAAAGUUUCCCACGCAUCAUGUGUGGUCUCUUUAUGUAUAUUAAGGUGGAACCGUAAAAUUUCAUAUCUUGCCCUUAAG